Molecule: ribosomal RNA, 253 nt
Filed under: uncultured bacterium
Lineage: Bacteria
Description: partial 16S ribosomal RNA
Rfam family: Bacterial small subunit ribosomal RNA
Source: RNAcentral
UACGGGGGGGGCAAGCGUUGUUCGGAAUUACUGGGCGUAAAGGGCGCGUAGGCGGUCGGAUAAGUCAGCUGUGAAAACCACGAGCUUAACUCGUGGCCUGCAGUUGAGACUGUCUGGCUUGAGUGUGGGAGAGGAGAGUGGAAUUCCUGGUGUAGCGGUGAAAUGCGUAGAUAUCAGGAGGAACACCAGUGGCGAAGGCGACUUUCUGGCCUGUUCUUGACGCUGAGGCGCGAAAGCUAGGGGAGCAAACAGG